Molecule: RNA transcript, 1599 nt
Organism: Panicum virgatum (switchgrass)
Lineage: Eukaryota; Viridiplantae; Streptophyta; Magnoliopsida; Poales; Poaceae
Gene name: probable BOI-related E3 ubiquitin-protein ligase 2
Exons: 3
Source: RefSeq, a predicted model, not a curated record
CGCCGCCCACCGCGCCUGCGAGCCAUCCAACUGCCCGGCCCAUCCAUUCCAAUUUCCCACUCCCACUUCCUCUGCCCAGCCAGCGCGUCGCCAUGGCCGUGCAGGCGCGGCACAUCUCCCACGACUUCCCGGCGGCGUUGGGCGGCGGCUCCCUGUUCCUGGACGUGGACGAGUACGCCGGGUGUGCGCCAACGUCGCCGGCGUGGCCUCGGGAUACGACGGCGCUCGGCGACCUCCCGCGCAGCGAGCUCGCCUGCAACUACGGCUUCGUGCCGAGGAAGCGGCCGCGCCUGGCGGCGGCGGCGGCGCCAGCAGCUGGGUGCUUCUUGGACGAUCAGCGCGCGGUUAUCACUCCGGCGGGAGCGGGGGUGGAGGGCUCCGGCGCGGCGUCCACCAGCGGGAGGGUGGCGAAUGGCGCGAGCGUCUCGCUGGGCCUUCGGGCGUGGAUGCACCACCAGGGCGUGGAGAUCGACGCGCUCUUAAGACUCGAGGCGGAGAGGAUGCGCGCGGCUCUAGAGGAGGCGCAGCGGCGGCACGCCCGGGCGCUGCUGGCCGCCGCGGGCCGCGCCGCGUCGGGGCGGCUGCGCGCGGCGGAGGCCGAGGCGGUGCGCGCGCUCUGGCGCAACGCGGAGCUGGAGGAGAAGGCCCGGCAGGCGGGCGCCGAGUGCCAGGCGUGGAUGGGCGUCGCCAGGAGCCACGAGGCCGUCGCGGCCGGCCUCCGCGCCACGCUCGAGCAGCUCCUGCAGCCGCCCCGCGCGGCCGCCGGGGGCUGCGAGGGCGACGCCGAGGAAGCGCAGUCGUGCUGCUUCGAGGCGCCGCCGGCCGCGGACGGCGCCGAUGACGCCCCGCCGGCCUCCAGGUCCGCUACGGCAGCAGCGGCGGCGGCGUGCAAGUCGUGCGGCGGCGGCGAGGCGCGCGUGCUGCUGCUCCCGUGCCGGCACCUGUGCCUGUGCGGCGCGUGCGAGGCCGGCGUGGACGCGUGCCCCGUCUGCGCGGCCGCCAAGAACGGCUCGCUCCAUGUCCUCUUCUCCUGAGCCGCGCCGUCCUCGUCCUACGAGUUGGAGGUAUACGGAGGGAAUCGUGUGAAGGAUUUACCGGAGAUAGCUGCAGAAAUGGUGAGAUGUCUCCUAGCUGUCGUUACAGUGCCAAAGGUUCAAGGGCUGGUAAAUGUUUAUGAUGGUUAGACACAAUCACACAACAUCUAGCAUCAGGUCUGGCUGCAAUUGUAAUUUGAAAAGUUUGGGCAGCGCACAAGCACGACAAAUGACUCGCGUCCGUCCAUGGCGUCCAUCGAAUGCCGGCAUGUGUUCGUCGCGUGUCCGGCCAGUAAUCCGCCGCGAAACAUGCCGUGCCCACUUGCCGAGUUGCCGUGCUACCCGUUGCCGCUGCUCGCCGUGUGCCCGUGUCCAUGUGAGAUCACUGUGGAUGAUGCCUCCGGGACCUUAAAGUUUCAGCGCCAAAGUCCAGACACACAAAGGCUACUGAUAGAUAGGUUACCUAGCGCCAUCGAUCGAUCCCGAUGUCAUAUCUCCUACACUGGGUUUGGACGUAGCUAUUAAUAACCUCAAAAUUUGGAAUUGGCAUUGGUGGCUUCAAAUA